This 405-nucleotide ribosomal RNA is filed under the name uncultured bacterium. RNAcentral's name for it is "bacterial SSU rRNA". It matches the Rfam family "Bacterial small subunit ribosomal RNA", at positions 976 to 1380 of the family's 1533-position model. The record is from RNAcentral.
UAAGCUUGACAUCCCACUGACCUCUCCCUAAUCGGAGAUUUCCCUUCGGGGACAGUGGUGACAGGUGGUGCAUGGUUGUCGUCAGCUCGUGUCGUGAGAUGUUGGGUUAAGUCCCGCAACGAGCGCAACCCUUGCCUUUAGUUGCCAGCAUUAAGUUGGGCACUCUAGAGGGACUGCCGAGGAUAACUCGGAGGAAGGUGGGGAUGACGUCAAAUCAUCAUGCCCCUUAUGCUUAGGGCUACACACGUGCUACAAUGGGUGGUACAGAGGGUUGCCAAGCCGCGAGGUGGAGCUAAUCCCUUAAAGCCAUUCUCAGUUCGGAUUGUAGGCUGAAACUCGCCUACAUGAAGCUGGAGUUACUAGUAAUCGCAGAUCAGAAUGCUGCGGUGAAUGCGUUCCCGGGUC